Non-coding RNA from Dipodomys ordii (Ord's kangaroo rat), 72 nucleotides. Lineage: Eukaryota; Metazoa; Chordata; Mammalia; Rodentia; Heteromyidae. The record is from Rfam.
GUGAAGGUGGCUCAGUGGUAGAGUGCUUGCCUUGCAUAUAUGAGGCCCUGGGUUCGAUUCCUCAGCAUCACA